CUCCUCAUUUCGCGGCGCUGCAGUGCGCCUGGGGUUACGGGACCUCUCAAAUGAGAGGCGAUGA
RNAcentral lists this transfer RNA (64 nucleotides) under Thalassiosira minuscula. The record is from RNAcentral. Lineage: Eukaryota; Bacillariophyta; Thalassiosirophyceae; Thalassiosirales; Thalassiosiraceae.